Molecule: ribosomal RNA, 550 nt
Filed under: uncultured bacterium
Lineage: Bacteria
Description: bacterial SSU rRNA
Rfam family: Bacterial small subunit ribosomal RNA
Source: RNAcentral
UAGGGANNCNUNNNNNAUGGACGGAAGUCUGACCGAGCAACGCCGCGUGAGUGAAGAAGGUUUUCGGAUCGUAAAGCUCUGUUGUAAGAGAAGAACGAGUGUGAGAGUGGAAAGUUCACACUGUGACGGUAUCUUACCAGAAAGGGACGGCUAACUACGUGCCAGCAGCCGCGGUAAUACGUAGGUCCCGAGCGUUGUCCGGAUUUAUUGGGCGUAAAGCGAGCGCAGGCGGCUAGAUAAGUCUGAAGUUAAAGGCUGUGGCUUAACCAUAGUACGCUUUGGAAACUGUUUAACUUGAGUGCAAGAGGGGAGAGUGGAAUUCCAUGUGUAGCGGUGAAAUGCGUAGAUAUAUGGAGGAACACCGGUGGCGAAAGCGGCCCUCUGGCUUGUAACUGACGCUGAGGCUCGAAAGCGUGGGGAGCAAACAGGAUUAGAUACCCUGGUAGUCCACGCCGUAAACGAUGUCUACCAGUCGUUGGGUCUUUUAAAGACUUAGUGACGCAGUUAACGCAAUAAGUAGACCGCCUGGGGAGUACGGCCGCAAGGUUAA